CACUUGCAGAUUCCACAGAAAGACUGUUUCAAAACUGCUCUGUCAAUAGAAAGGUUCAACUCUGUUAGCUGCGUGCAUAUAUCCCAAAGAAGAUUCUGAGAUUGCUUCUGUCUAGUUUUUAUGGGAAGAUAUUUCCCUUUUCACCGUAGGCGUCAAGGCGCUCCAAAUGUCCACNUCCAGAUACUACAAAAAGAGUGUUUCAAACCUACUCUGUGAAAGGGAAUAUUCAACUCUGUGACUUGAAUGCACAUAUCACAAAGAAGUUUCUGAGAAUGCUUCUGUCGAGAUUUUAUAUGAAGAUAUUCCCGUUUCCAACGAAAUCCUGAA
This 327-nucleotide long non-coding RNA is filed under the name Hordeum vulgare. Its description in RNAcentral is "long non-coding RNA (HVUL_LNC010414)". Lineage: Eukaryota; Viridiplantae; Streptophyta; Magnoliopsida; Poales; Poaceae. The record is from RNAcentral.